This is a non-coding RNA of Niabella sp., 120 nucleotides long. Lineage: Bacteria; Pseudomonadati; Bacteroidota; Chitinophagia; Chitinophagales; Chitinophagaceae. The record is from Rfam.
GAGAGUUGGGGUCUCUCGUAACCAACAUGCAGGUGUUGGUUACAAACUACUUCUAAGCUGCUGCGGUUAAGUACGUGGAGAGAAGCGUUAGAAGAAAAGGCGCUGUUAAAAGUGUCAGGU